AGAGUUUGAUCCUGGCUCAGGAUGAACGCU
RNAcentral lists this ribosomal RNA (30 nucleotides) under Bacillus cereus AND1407. RNAcentral's name for it is "partial 16S ribosomal RNA". The record is from RNAcentral. Lineage: Bacteria; Bacillati; Bacillota; Bacilli; Caryophanales; Bacillaceae.